Hemibagrus wyckioides is the source of this 190-nucleotide small nuclear RNA. RefSeq annotates it as U2 spliceosomal RNA. The record is from RefSeq and is a predicted model, not a curated record. Lineage: Eukaryota; Metazoa; Chordata; Actinopteri; Siluriformes; Bagridae. The transcript has a single exon.
UUCGCUUCUCAGUAUUUUAGCUAAGAUCAAGUGUAGUAUGUGUUCUUAUCAGUUUAAUAUCUGAUACCUACUCUAUAAGAGGACUCUAUAUUAAAAGGAGUUUUAGAGCUGGGAGACGGAAAAGAGCUUGCUCUGUCUGCUUCAUGCAGCGAUCUGGUACUGGAGUGUUUCCAGGCUUGGUGCACCAUUU